GUCCGUAAAGGUGGAUGAGUGGUGUUUGGUUUGUUACGUGUGGUUGGCUGCGGCGUUUGCAACAACUUCCAUGCUUUCAGACCUCUUCAGUUGUGCGGCAAGGCUUGUAUCGCCUUGAGCGUAUCGUGGGUUUUCUGUGUUGGCUACCUAAUCGACGGUAUCGGUUGGAUUGAUCAAAGUUUGAUUUCGUCUUCCGUCGCAUUCGCGGCGUGAGGUGAACCUYGAUGCGGUCUCUUUGAUCCACCUCGUCGGAGCACAUGCUUUGACGUUGURGCGCAUUGAGCAUUGCUUGGUCUCUUGUAUACGGAACAUAUAGUGGGCAUGGAUCUAACGAUUCUCGUUUGCCCUCAUAUUAGCGUAACGCUUCUCUUACACGACUUGCUCCACGUUUUAGCUCGUACGGACGUGGUGCUAUGUCGAAGAGGAAUGCUACCUGGUUGAUCCUGCCAGUAGUCAUAUGCUUGUCUCAAAGAUUAAGCCAUG
This 483-nucleotide unclassified non-coding RNA is filed under the name Artemisia chamaemelifolia. RNAcentral describes it as "partial external transcribed spacer". The stretch from base 431 to 483 matches the Rfam family "Eukaryotic small subunit ribosomal RNA", at positions 1 to 53 of the family's 1831-position model. Lineage: Eukaryota; Viridiplantae; Streptophyta; Magnoliopsida; Asterales; Asteraceae. The record is from RNAcentral.